RNAcentral lists this ribosomal RNA (830 nucleotides) under uncultured bacterium. RNAcentral's name for it is "bacterial SSU rRNA". It matches the Rfam family "Bacterial small subunit ribosomal RNA", at positions 58 to 881 of the family's 1533-position model. The record is from RNAcentral.
CAAGUCGAGGGGCAGCAUCAUCAAAGCUUGCUUUGAUGGAUGGCGACCGGCGCACGGGUGAGUAACACGUAUCCAACCUGCCGACAACACUGGGAUAGCCUUUCGAAAGAAAGAUUAAUACCGGAUGGCAUAAUUAUUCCGCAUGGGAUAAUUAUUAAAGAAUUUCGGUUGUCGAUGGGGAUGCGUUCCAUUAGGCAGUUGGCGGGGUAACGGCCCACCAAACCUACGAUGGAUAGGGGUUCUGAGAGGAAGGUCCCCCACAUUGGAACUGAGACACGGUCCAAACUCCUACGGGAGGCAGCAGUGAGGAAUAUUGGUCAAUGGACGAGAGUCUGAACCAGCCAAGUAGCGUGAAGGAUGACUGCCCUAUGGGUUGUAAACUUCUUUUAUACGGGAAUAAAGUGAGCCACGUGUGGCUUUUUGUAUGUACCGUAUGAAUAAGGAUCGGCUAACUCCGUGCCAGCAGCCGCGGUAAUACGGAGGAUCCGAGCGUUAUCCGGAUUUAUUGGGUUUAAAGGGAGCGUAGGCGGGUUGUUAAGUCAGUUGUGAAAGUUUGCGGCUCAACCGUAAAAUUGCAGUUGAUACUGGCGACCUUGAGUGCAACAGAGGUAGGCGGAAUUCGUGGUGUAGCGGUGAAAUGCUUAGAUAUCACGAAGAACUCCGAUUGCGAAGGCAGCUUACUGGAUUGUAACUGACGCUGAUGCUCGAAAGUGUGGGUAUCAAACAGGAUUAGAUACCCUGGUAGUCCACACAGUAAACGAUGAAUACUCGCUGUUGGCGAUAUACAGUCAGCGGCCAAGCGAAAGCAUUAAGUAUUCCACCUGGGGAGU